This 261-nucleotide ribosomal RNA is filed under the name uncultured prokaryote. Its description in RNAcentral is "partial 16S ribosomal RNA". It matches the Rfam family "Bacterial small subunit ribosomal RNA", at positions 524 to 784 of the family's 1533-position model. The record is from RNAcentral.
UACGGAGGAUCCGAGCGUUAUCCGGAUUUAUUGGGUUUAAAGGGUGCGCAGGCGGGAGAUUAAGUCGGCGGUGAAAUUUUGCAGCUCAACUGUAAAAGUGCCAUUGAUACUGGUUUUCUUGAGUGUGGAUGAAGUAGGCGGAAUUUGUGGUGUAGCGGUGAAAUGCAUAGAUAUUGCACGGAACACCAAUUGCGAAGGCAGCUUACUGGGCCAUUACUGACGCUCAGGCACGAAAGCGUGGGGAUCAAACAGGAUUAGAUA